Molecule: RNA transcript, 3712 nt
Organism: Passer montanus (Eurasian tree sparrow)
Lineage: Eukaryota; Metazoa; Chordata; Aves; Passeriformes; Passeridae
Gene: IFT88
Gene name: intraflagellar transport 88
Exons: 26
Source: RefSeq, a predicted model, not a curated record
GGCUCCGCGAGCCGAGGGCGCGUCCCGCCCGUGCCCGGAGCCGCCCCCGCUGCGGGGCUCAUCGCCGGGUCCCCGCUGGAGGAACCCGCGCCGGGAGCGGCUCGGCCGCGGGGCAGCGCGCACGGCGGGGAAGCGACGGGGAACAUCCUCCUCAUCCUGCCGCUGCACAGGAACCGUGCGCUUCGUGCUGGCUGAGGCUUGCUUGCUGAAGGGCAUGUACUUCAUGUUAUCGAUGAAAGCAAACGUUGCCUUCUCGAGGUUUUUAUGAAAACAGGUCGCCAGGCAAAAAAAAUGAUGCAGAAUGUGCAGCUGGCUCCUGAGAGUAAUGAAGAUGAUCUCUAUUCUGGCUUCAAUGAUUAUAAUCCCAUGUUUGACACAGAGGAUUUAGAAAAUGAUGUGGCUUUUCAACAGGCAGCAAAAACAAGUCAUGGAAGAAGACCCCCUGUGACUGCCAAAAUUCCUGGUACAUCAAGUCCAAGACCUCUAGCUACUGGAUUUGGGUCAAAAACAACUUUAACUUCAUCCAUGGGAAGACCUAUGACAGGAACUAUACAGGAUGGAGUUUCUCGACCAAUGACAGCAGUGCAAGCUGCAGGUUACACUAAAGCAGCUGUGAGAGGUUCUUCAUUUGACCCUCUUGGCCAAGCAAGAGGUCCUGCUUCACCUCUGGAAAAGAAAACUUCAGACAGUUUAGAAGAGAAGAUGAGGCAGUUGGAAAAAAAAGUGAAUGAACUGGUUGAAGAAAGCUGUGUUGCCAAUAGCUGUGGAGACUUGAAAUUGGCUCUGGAGAAAGCAAAGGAAGCUGGAAGACAGGAAAGAGAAUUGUUGAGGCAGCGUGAACAAAUUGCUCCUCCAGAAAGUAUCAACUUAGACCUCACUUACACAGUUCUCCUCAAUCUGGCCGGUCAGUAUGUUGCUAACGAAAUGUAUGCUGAAGCACUGACUACUUACCAAGUUAUAGUGAAGAAUAAGAUGUUCAGCAAUGGAGGUAUACUGAAGGUAAAUAUGGGAAAUAUAUAUUUAAAACAACGGAACUAUUCCAAAGCUAUCAAAUUCUACCGUAUGGCUCUAGACCAGAUCACUAGUUCCCACAAACAGAUGAGGAUAAAAAUAAUGGAAAAUAUUGGAGUUGCAUUUAUUAAAACAGGCCAAUACGUUGAUGCCAUUUCUUCAUUUGAAGAAAUAAUGAACAUAUCCCCAAACCUGAAGGCAGGCUUCAACCUGAUCCUGUGUUACUUUGCUAUUGGAAAUGGUGAGCAAAUGAAGAAAGCCUUCAAAAACCUCAUCGAAGUUCCCUUGGAAGUGGAUUAUGAAGACAAAUACAUUUCAUUAAAUGAUGAUCUACAUACGAAUCUACUGAUUGAAGCCAUUAAAAAUGACAGUUUAAGUCAAAUAGAACGUGAGAGGAAGUCCUUGGCAGAGGAAUACAUCAUGACAGCUGCUAAACUCAUUGCACCAGCAAUUGAGACAUCUUUUGCAGUAGGCUAUGACUGGUGUGUUGAUGCAGUGAAAGCUUCCCACUAUGUAGAAUUAGCCAAUGAUCUGGAAAUAAAUAAAGCCACUACUUACUUGAGGCAACAGAAUUUUAACCAGGCACUGGAGACUUUGAAAAUGUUUGAAAAAAAGGAUAGCAGAGUAAAGAGUGCAGCUGCAACAAACCUUUCAUUCCUUUAUUAUUUGGGGAAUGAAUUGGAACAAGCAACUAACUAUGCAGAUUUAGCAGUAAAUUCUGAUAGGUACAAUCCAGCAGCUCUGACUAACAAAGGAAAUACUGUUUUUGCAAAUGGAGACUGUGAAAAAGCAGCUGAAUUUUAUAAGGAAGCUCUCAGGAAUGAUUCCUUAUGUACUGAAGCACUUUAUAAUCUUGGUUUAGCUUACAAGAAGUUAAACAGGAUAGAUGAAGCUUUGGAUUGUUUUCUGAAACUCCAUGCAAUCCUUCCAAAUAGUGCCCAAGUCCUUUACCAGCUAGCAAGCAUAUACCAAAUCAUGGAAGAUCCCAAUCAAGCCAUAGAGUGGCUGCUGCAGUUGAUCAGUGUAGUACCAACUGAUCCACAUGUACUUGCAAAGCUAGGGAAUUUAUAUGAUACUGAAGGUGAUAAAUCCCAGGCUUUUCAUUAUUACUGUGAGUCGUACCGGUAUUUCCCUUCCAACAUUGAGGUCAUUGAAUGGCUUGGAGCGUAUUACAUUGACACCCAGUUCUGUGAAAAAGCCAUUGAGUACUUUGAAAGGGCAGCACUUAUCCUGCCAACACAAGUGAAGUGGCAGCUGAUGGUUGCCAGUUGCUACAGAAGAAGUGGAGAUGUUUGGUUUGUUUGCAGGCAACUACCAGAAAGCUCUGGAGAAAUACAAAGUCAUUCACAGAAAAUUCCCAGAGAAUGUUGAAUGCCUCCGGUUUUUAGUUCGUCUCUGCACAGACAUGGGGCUGAAAGAAGUCCAGGAAUAUAUAACAAAGCUCAAGAAAGCAGAAAAAUUAAAAGAAAUCAGAGAGCAGCGCAUUAAAUCUGGCAGAGAGGGCAGUGCACGGAGCCGCAAAGAGGGAACUAGUGAUAGUGGUGGUACCAAAGGGGAAAGACUGAGUGCCAAACUAAAAGCUCUGCCUGGAACAAGUGAACCCUAUGAAAGUAGCAGCAGUAAAGAAAUAGAUGCCUCCUACGCAGAUCCACUUGGCCCACAACCAGAAAGACCAAAAACAGCAGCAAGAAAAAGAAUGGAGGAAGAUGAUUUUGCUGAUGAAGAACUAGGAGAGGAUCUGCUUCCAGAAUAGCAUAUGGACCACUCAUCUUUUUUAUAAUCCUUUUAAAAGUUUUAGCUGAAAAACUUUUCAUUCAUAAUGAUUUUGUAGUGGAUUUUUAUAAACUAUUUGUGAAAUACUUUGAACAUAUGGUACCUUAUGUUAAAAACUUGGAUUUGUAAUUGCAGUGUCUUCUGUGAUUGAUUAAAAAAAUAAUGGUGAGGUUAUUUUAUUCAUGCAUAAAAUCUCCACAAGUACUCAAACCUAUUGCAAGCUGUAUCAAAUGUGCAAAGCUUUUGCUUUCAGAGGUACAUACAAUGAUAAUAUUAAACAGAAAAGCCUCUGAAGCUUCAUCUUUCAAUGCAGAAUACUCAAAAGCAAUGCUUGUAAGGUUGAAAAUCCUGUAUCCUUCAUCCAAAGCCAGAAUUUAUUUCAGUCCUGUGAGCUGACCUGAAAAUGCUGAGUAUGACCUUGGUCUUCCUUAAGGUCCCAGUUCAGCAAAUCACUUUGCACUGAUACCAAAGAAAGCAUCUUAAUUUAAGCCUACGUUUAGAUGAACUAGGACCAUUUUGCAGUCUCUCAGCAAAAUGUCCUUAUUUUAAUUUUUUAUUUUGAGUGGUCAGAGUUGUCAGGAUUUCAGGCUAGUUUGUUCAGAAUUGCUGAUUAGAUUGCAGCUUUUGAGUCUUAUUUUGGAGACUGUGGCACUGACCACACAGUGGUAGUUUUGCACAGCCUAAGCUGAGUAUGGGUGAAGGAGUUAGUUACAGAAAUCACCAUUUUGCUUAUGAACGGAACAAGUUUGAUCUGAAGUUAUUGAGACCCGUUAAAUUCCUUUAGUAGGAAUAAUUUUGAGGAGGUGAAAAAUAUUAGUCAGGUGUUCAGAAUUUCCUAAUAAAUACUUGCAAAACUAGUCCACUGAGAUGGCUUGUUUUUGGAGCCCCGGCAUGAGUUUGGUUUAAUAGUUAGACUUUGGUUAUUGCA